CAGCCGCGUAAUUCCAGCUCCAAUAGCGUAUAUUAAAGUUGUUGCAGUUAAAAAGCUCGUAGUUGAAUUUCGGGGUUAGUAGGUUGGUCAUGCCUCUGGUAUGUACUGGUCUCACUGAUUCCUCCUUCCUGAUGAGCCGUAAUGCCAUUAAUUUGGUGUUGCGGGGAAUUUGGACUGUUACUUUGAAAAAAUUAGAGUGUUUAAAGCAAGCUAACGCUUGAAUACAUUAGCAUGGAAUAAUGAAAUAGGACGUUCGAUCCUAUUUUGUUGGUUUCUAGGAUUGACGUAAUGAUUAAUAGGGAUAGUUGGGGGCAUUAGUAUUCAAUUGACAGAGGUGAAAUUCUUGGAUUUAUUGAAGACUAACUACUGCGAAAGCAUUUGCCAAGGAUGUUUUCAUUAAUCAAGAACGAAAGUUAGGGGAUCGAAGACGAUCAGAUACCGUCGUAGUCUUAACCAUAAACUAUGCCGACUAGGGAUCGGAUGAUGUUAAUUUUUUAAUGACUCAUUCGGCGCCUUACG
Molecule: unclassified non-coding RNA, 519 nt
Filed under: uncultured Glomeromycotina
Lineage: Eukaryota; Fungi; Glomeromycota
Description: SSU rRNA
Rfam family: Eukaryotic small subunit ribosomal RNA
Source: RNAcentral